GAUGAAGAACGCAGCGAAAUGCGAUAAGUAGUGUGAAUUGCAGAAUUCAGUGAAUCAUCGAAUCUUUGAACGCACAUUGCGCCCUUUGGUAUUCCUUAGGGCAUGCCUGUUCGAGCGUCAUUUAAACCUUCAAGCUCAGCUUGGUGUUGGGUGACUGUCCGCUUCACCGCGGACUCGCCUCAAAAUUAUUGGCGGCCGGUACAUUGGCUUCGAGCGCAGCAGAAACGCGAACUCGGGCCCGUCGUAUAGGCUCCCAGAAGCUAUCUUCACAAUUUUGACCUCGGAUCAGGUAGGGAUACCCGCUGAACUUAAGCAUAUCAAUAAGCGGAGGA
This 332-nucleotide unclassified non-coding RNA is filed under the name soil metagenome. RNAcentral describes it as "partial contains 5.8S ribosomal RNA, internal transcribed spacer 2, and large subunit ribosomal RNA". The stretch from base 1 to 120 matches the Rfam family "5.8S ribosomal RNA", at positions 35 to 154 of the family's 154-position model. The record is from RNAcentral.